UUAAGUUAAUAAGGGCGCACGGUGGAUGCCUUGGCACUAGAAGCCGAUGAAGGACGUGACUAACGACGAAAUGCUUUGGGGAGCUGUAAGUGAGCAAUGAUCCAGAGAUGUCCGAAUGGGGGAACCCGGCAGGUAAUGCCUGUCACUCAUUACUGUUAAGGUAAUGUAGAGGAAGACGCAGUGAACUGAAACAUCUAAGUAGCUGCAGGAAGAGAAAGCAAAAGCGAUUGCCUUAGUAGCGGCGAGCGAAACGGCAAGAGGGCAAACCGAAGAGUUUACUCUUCGGGGUUGUAGGACUGCAACGUGGACUUAAAGAGUAUAGAAGAACUACCUGGGAAGGUAGGCCAAAGAGAGUAAUAGCCUCGUAUUCGAAAUAGUCUUUAUACCUAGCAGUAUCCUGAGUACGGCGAGACACGAGAAAUCUCGUCGGAAUCUGGGAGGACCAUCUCCCAACCCUAAAUACUCUCUAGUGACCGAUAGUGAACCAGUACCGUGAGGGAAAGGUGAAAAGCACCCCGGGAGGGGAGUGAAAUAGAACCUGAAACCGUGUGCCUACAACAAGUUCGAGCCCGUUAAUGGGUGAGAGCGUGCCUUUUGUAGAAUGAACCGGCGAGUUACGAUAUGAUGCGAGGUUAAGUUGAAGAGACGGAGCCGUAGGGAAACCGAGUCUUAAUAGGGCGCAUUAGUAUCAUGUCGUAGACCCGAAACCAUGUGACCUACCCAUGAGCAGGUUGAAGGUGAGGUAAAACUCACUGGAGGACCGAACCAGGGCACGUUGAAAAGUGCUUGGAUGACUUGUGGGUAGCGGAGAAAUUCCAAACGAACUUGGAGAUAGCUGGUUCUCUCCGAAAUAGCUUUAGGGCUAGCGUCGAUGUUAAGUCUCUUGGAGGUAGAGCACUGUUUGGGUGAGGGGUCCAUCCCGGAUUACCAAUCUCAGAUAAACUCCGAAUGCCAACGAGAUAUAAUCGGCAGUCAGACUGCGAGUGCUAAGAUCCGUAGUCGAAAGGGAAACAGCCCAGACCACCAGCUAAGGUCCCAAAAUAUAUGUUAAGUGGAAAAGGAUGUGGGGUUGCACAGACAACUAGGAUGUUAGCUUAGAAGCAGCUAUUCAUUCAAAGAGUGCGUAAUAGCUCACUAGUCGAGUGACCCUGCGCCGAAAAUGUACCGGGGCUAAAACAUAUUACCGAAGCUGUGGAUACCUUUAUAGGUAUGGUAGGAGAGCGUUCUAUGUGCGAAGAAGGUGUACCGUGAGGAGUGCUGGAGCGCAUAGAAGUGAGAAUGCCGGUAUGAGUAGCGAAAGACAGGUGAGAAUCCUGUCCACCGUAAGACUAAGGUUUCCAGGGGAAGGCUCGUCCGCCCUGGGUUAGUCGGGACCUAAGGAGAGACCGAAAGGUGUAUCCGAUGGACAACAGGUUGAUAUUCCUGUACUAGAGUAUAUAGUGAUGGAGGGACGCAGUAGGCUAACUAAACCAGACGAUUGGAAGUGUCUGGCCAAGCAGUGAGGUGUGAUAUGAGUCAAAUGCUUAUAUCUAUAACAUUGAGCUGUGAUGGGUAGCGAAGUUUAGUAGCGAAGUUAGUGAUGUCACACUGCCAAGAAAAGCUUCUAGCGUUAAUUAUACUCUACCCGUACCGCAAACCGACACAGGUAGUCGAGGCGAGUAGCCUCAGGUGAGCGAGAGAACUCUCGUUAAGGAACUCGGCAAAAUGGCCCCGUAACUUCGGGAGAAGGGGCGCUGACUUAUGGUCAGCCGCAGUGAAUAGGCCCAAGCAACUGUUUAUCAAAAACACAGCUCUCUGCUAAAUCGUAAGAUGAUGUAUAGGGGGUGACGCCUGCCCGGUGCUGGAAGGUUAAGAGGAGUGCUUAGCGUAAGCGAAGGUAUGAAUUGAAGCCCCAGUAAACGGCGGCCGUAACUAUAACGGUCCUAAGGUAGCGAAAUUCCUUGUCGGGUAAGUUCC
Molecule: ribosomal RNA, 1956 nt
Filed under: human gut metagenome
Description: bacterial LSU rRNA
Rfam family: Bacterial large subunit ribosomal RNA
Source: RNAcentral